AUGGCAGCCGCUGUGGGAAGGUUGUCCCUAGCUUCGGUUGACCGACAUGUGCACACCAUCCUGUCUCUGCAGUCCUUAGGCCUGUGGCUUCUGGGGAAAACAUGCUUGACAAACAUAUUGUGGUCUGAUUCUGGUCGAGCAGAAUUCGCCUUUGGCACAAUUUCCUCAUACCAUGCACUUGCUGUCACCCUAUUUUAAAGGUACAGCCUUUGUCAAUGCAGAGUUCAAAGAUCUAAGCCUUGAUGAUAAUGAGGGGAAAUGUUUGGUGCUUUUCUCCUAUCCUUUGGAUUUCACCUUUGUGUGUCGACAACAAUUUCUUGCUGUUAGUGAUAAAGAAUGAAUUUUACAAUGUGAACUGUGAAGUUGUUGCAGUCUUAGUGGAUUCCCACUUUAGCCAUCUUGCUUGGAUAAAUAUACCAAGAAAGAAUGGUGAUUUGGGCCACAUGAACAUCACACUUUUCUCAGAUUUAAUUAAACACAUUUCCUGAGACUAUGGUGUGCUGUUAGAAGGUCCUGGUUUGCACUAAGAGGAGUCUUCAUAAUUGACCCCAUGAAUUUAUCAAGCAUUUGAGUGUCAGUGACCUCCCAGUGGGCUAAAACGUGGAAGACACCCUCUGCUUGGUAAAGGCAUUCCAGUUUGUAAAAAAAACCCAUGGAGAAGUCUGCCCAGCAAACUGGACACUAGAGUCUCCUACAAUCAAGUCAAAUCAAACUGUUUCCAAAGAAUACUUUGAGAAGGUAAAUCAG
This 747-nucleotide long non-coding RNA is filed under the name Homo sapiens (human). Its description in RNAcentral is "non-protein coding lnc-ATXN7-10:1". Lineage: Eukaryota; Metazoa; Chordata; Mammalia; Primates; Hominidae. The record is from RNAcentral.